UCUUACCGGGGAGGCCAGGCAGUAGGAUCUCGGCCGUGGACCGAAGUCUGAGCCGAGCCACCGCGCGUGAGUGAAGAAGUUUUCGAUCGUAAAACUCUGUUGUUAGAGAGAGAAGGACGUUAGUAAACUGAAACGUCCCCUGACGGUAUCUAAACCAGAAAGCCCACGGCUAAACUACGUGCCAGCAGCCGCGGUAAUACGUAGGUGGCAAGCGUUGUCCGGAUUUAUUGGGCGUAAAGCGAGCGCAGGCGGUUUCUUAAGUCUGAUGUGAAAGCCCCCGGCUCAACCGGGGAGGGUCAUUGGAAACUGGGAGACUUGAGUGCAGAAGAGGAGAGUGGAAUUCCAUGUGUAGCGGUGAAAUGCGUAGAUAUAUGGAGGAACACCAGUGGCGAAGGCGGCUCUCUGGUCUGUAACUGACGCUGAGGCUCGAAAGCGUGGGGAGCAAACAGGAUUAGAUACCCUGGUAGUCCACGCCGUAAACGAUGAGUGCUAAGUGUUGGAGGGUUUCCGCCCUUCAGUGCUGCAGCAAACGCAUUAAGCACUCCGCCUGGGGAGUACGACCGCAAGGUUGAAACUCAAAGGAAUUGACGGGGGCCCGCACAAGCGGUGGAGCAUGUGGUUUAAUUCGAAGCAACGCGAAGAACCUUACCAGGUCUUGACAUCCUUUGACCACUCUAGAGAUAGAGCUUUCCCUUCGGGGACAAAGUGACAGGUGGUGCAUGGUUGUCGUCAGCUCGUGUCGUGAGAUGUUGGGUUAAGUCCCGCAACGAGCGCAACCCUUAUUGUUAGUUGCCAUCAUUUAGUUGGGCACUCUAGCGAGACUGCCGGUGACAAACCGGAGGAAGGUGGGGAUGACGUCAAAUCAUCAUGCCCCUUAUGACCUGGGCUACACACGUGCUACAAUGGGAAGUACAACGAGUCGCUAGACCGCGAGGUCAUGCAAAUCUCUUAAAGCUUCUCUCAGUUCGGAUUGCAGGCUGCAACUCGCCUGCAUGAAGCCGGAAUCGCUAGUAAUCGCGGAUCAGCACGCCGCGGUGAAUACGUUCCCGGGCCUUGUACACACCGCCCGUCACACCACGAGAGUUUGUAACACCCGAAGUCGGUGAGGUAACCUUUUUGGAGCCAGCCGCCUAAGGUGGGAUAGAUGAUUGGGGGAAGUCUACAACGUACCCC
RNAcentral lists this ribosomal RNA (1173 nucleotides) under Enterococcus faecalis. RNAcentral's name for it is "bacterial SSU rRNA". It matches the Rfam family "Bacterial small subunit ribosomal RNA", at positions 337 to 1502 of the family's 1533-position model. Lineage: Bacteria; Bacillati; Bacillota; Bacilli; Lactobacillales; Enterococcaceae. The record is from RNAcentral.